CUAACUUAACAAACAAAAAAUAUUUCAUGUUAUAAUUUAUGUAGCAAAAAUUUUAAAUUUUGCUUAAUUUGCAUUUAUUUAAACAGUCUUAAGACUUGAGAUCAUAUGUAUCUAUAUAUGUAUAAAAACUACAACUUUUCCUGGGAGGUUUCACAAAGAGGCUUGGAGCACUGGAGGCAAAUUAACUUUAAGCAAUCACAACAGCAGUACCUUGUUACCCUUUUUAUUUUUUGGGGACAAAUUGAACACAAUUUUCUACCACUUGGUGGAUUAGAUUGAAUAAUUGGUGGAGGAGGGGGUAGAUCUUGGUCAAGUACCUUGGUGAGCAUCAUUCUUAGUUCUCGUGGCAACCUUUCAUUGUACACCCGGAAUUUCAUGUGGUCCAGCACCAAUUCUCUUGCCAGAUUGAGCAUAAAUGUUUUUCUUCUCAUUUUUAGAUCACUGUCAGUACACAUUUGAUAUAAGACAAAGGCAUUAACUGACGUGUUGUUUAGGAGACACUAUGAAAAUAUAACAAAAAUACUGAUGUUAUUGUCUCUCAGACACCUACCUUAAUAUUGAUGUGGUUGACUCGCAGACACUUUUUCGCUUAAAAUGACACGUGUGCGUGCAUCAAUUGAUCUGAACAAACUAACAUAGGCAUAAGUACACAAUAAGAAGGUACAGAGAACGAGAGAGUAGAUGUAUGGAAAAUAACGGUACAAAAUACUCUUUUGUGUCUGUUGAAGUCUGCUAGACUACCACAUCAGUCACAGAGGGUUAAAGGAAAAUAUUGUAAUGUCGUACUUUGUUAUAAAAAUUGUCUUUUUUUUAUAAAUAUUCUCCACUCAAUGGAAAUAAUUGAGGAAUUGUUUGAUUUGAACCGCCUAGCAAUGAAACGUUUGUUGCAUGCACACAUAAUACUCAAAAUGGGUAGUCUACAUGGAGCAAAUUCAACAAGGUCUAUUUGGAUGAAGGUACAUACAUGUGUAUAUAAAUAUUGGUAUUAUAUGUGCAUAUUAUAAUGUAAUUCGUUUAUUAUAAUGUGUAUAUAAUUCCGACUCGUGGCCAAAUGUUUUGGGAAGUCGAUUGCCAGGUGAAUUCAGAUGCAUUCUUUAAAAGCAACUUCCGAAUGAAGCGCAAAUCAUUCAAUAAAUUGUGCAUUAUGUUGAAAGGCUUGGAGAAGAAAACCCCCAACUACCGGAAAACAAUUCAAUUAGAAAAACGCAUUGCUAUUGCUUUAUAUGCUCUUGGCUCUUCUGCAGUAUACCGAACAAUUGGAAAUAUGUUCGGAAUUGGUAAAAGCACUGUCUGCUCCAUUCUAAUUGAGUUCUGCCAUGAUGUCAGGCGAUGUUUGUGGCCAUUGUAUUUGAAGAAAUUCCCAAUGAACGAAUUUCAAGUGCGGGAGUAUAUAAAUGGUUUUGAGUCAUUGGGUUUCCCUCAAGUGUUAGGAGCUAUAGAUGGUUGUCAUAUAGAAGUUCGCCCAGCAGCAGAAGAUGCUGUUGACUACUACAAUUACAAAGGCUGGUAUUCCACAGUUCUUUUGGCUUUAGUAGAUGCAAGAUGCCGCUUUAUAUACAUCAACGUUGGUAGUUCAGGCCGUUGUAAUGACUCUUCAAUAUUUGAGAGUUCAUCUUUAAAAAGCCAGUUGGCACAAUCUAGUUUAUUUAAAGACAUGAGUAGACAAAUUUCGUCAAUUAAUGUACCAGUAGUUUUAUUGGGCGACUCUUCUCAAAGUUCAAACUAGAUGAACAUUUGAUGAAACCCUACCCUUUUUGUGUAAACCAACCUUCGGAUAAAAAAAAAUUUAACUAUGUUCUCUCGAAAUGUCGAAUAGUGGUGGAGAAUGCUUUCGGUCAUUUAAAGGCAAGGUUUAGACGCAUUGGCAAAGGCUUGGAUAACCACAUGGUCAACACGAGAGCUGUUAUCAAAGCGUGCUGCGUUUUGCAUAACUUUUUAAAUGAGGAAAAUGAUGAAAUUAAUGAAAAGUGGAUUGCAGCACAACAAAUCGAAAACGAAACUCGACAGUUGCCAGAAAACGUCUCUUACGUUUGUGGAAAUGUUAACCCAAGAGCAGAGGAAAUAAGACAAGCGUUUGUUUCAUAUUUCGCCUCAUUUGACGAUGGCCGAGUCGAGCUACCCGAUGUAGAAGGGCCAACGUCAGGGCUCGGGAGCGGCGACUCCCCUUCUUCCUCCAGGUAAAUCGUCUCCAUAUCACCUGAAAAUAUGCAUACAUAUUAAAAACUUUCUGCAAACAAAUAAAAGCAUAAAAAACAUUCCAUAAACGUUUUUCAUUUCGAAUUAUGGAACCUCCAAUACAUUUAAAACUUACCCUCG
This is an RNA transcript of Zeugodacus cucurbitae (melon fly), 2316 nucleotides long. RefSeq lists it as uncharacterized. The record is from RefSeq and is a predicted model, not a curated record. The transcript has 4 exons. Lineage: Eukaryota; Metazoa; Arthropoda; Insecta; Diptera; Tephritidae.